CUCCAUGAGAUUUUAACCAAGAAUCUCUCACGCUCUUCCUCAACAUUGAUUCCGCAUAUGUGCAAAGAGAUGACCUUCGAAUUGUCAAGCAGCUACAAUCGCCAUCAAUUCCUACAGAUAGUCUCCAUGCUUUUUCCGAGCAGUUGUCUUUUGUUGAUGUAUGUGAGGUCGACUCAGUGAUGUGGCUUAUAUCUUGACUUUCUGCAGCAACCAGGAAAUCCUGCACUGGAGACAUCUUGUGAAAGAAAUGUUGAAUAUCAGGCACCACUUCAGUUUUAAAACGAUAAGGUUCCAUCAGCUUAUUUCACGGCAACGAUGAAGCAAAGUUAUUUAAUGGUGAAACUGGAUUAACGUUACAUCACGUUAAGGUUUCAUUAUGUCACACGUUAGAAUGUGCCAACUUCGAUUUUAAGAACAGCAAAAAUCAUCUACAAUGUCUCCGUAGAAACUAUAAUUUAUUAUAAC
Long non-coding RNA from Pistacia vera, 465 nucleotides. RefSeq lists it as uncharacterized. NCBI's taxonomy places the organism in Eukaryota, Viridiplantae, Streptophyta, Magnoliopsida, Sapindales, Anacardiaceae. The transcript has 3 exons. The record is from RefSeq and is a predicted model, not a curated record.